GCAUAUCAAUAAGCCGAGGAAAAGAAACCAACAGGGAUUGCCUUAGUAACGGCGAGUGAAGCGGCAAAAGCUCAAAUUUGAAAUCGGCCAUCAGGUCGAGUUGUAAUUUGUAGAUUGUACUUUGAGAGCGGAUUAAAGUCUGUUGGAACACAGCGCCUUAGAGGGUGACAGCCCCGUUAAAAUCUAUUCUCAUUGUAAGGUACUUUCGAAGAGUCGAGUUGUUUGGGAAUGCAGCUCUAAGUGGGAGGUAAAUUCCUUCUAAAGCUAAAUAUUGACGAGAGACCGAUAGCGAACAAGUACUGUGAAGGAAAGAUGAAAAGCACUUUGAAAAGAGAGUGAAAAAGUACGUGAAAUUGUUAAAAGGGAAGGGUAUUGAAUCAGACGUGGUGCUGUUGUUCAACUUUGUUUCGGCAUGGUGUACUCAGCAGUACUAGGCCAAGGUGGGGUGUUUGGGAGUGAAAAAGGAAUAGGAACGUAGCUCUUCGGAGUGUUAUAACUUAUUUUCAUAGCUCCUCAGGCGCCUCAGGACUGCGCUUCGGCAAGGACUUUGGCAUAAUGAUUCUAUACCGCCCGUCUUGAAACACGGACC
This 589-nucleotide ribosomal RNA is filed under the name uncultured fungus. RNAcentral describes it as "eukaryotic LSU rRNA". It matches the Rfam family "Eukaryotic large subunit ribosomal RNA", at positions 38 to 667 of the family's 3401-position model. Lineage: Eukaryota; Fungi. The record is from RNAcentral.